This 92-nucleotide small nucleolar RNA is filed under the name Huiozyma naganishii CBS 8797. The record is from RNAcentral. Lineage: Eukaryota; Fungi; Ascomycota; Saccharomycetes; Saccharomycetales; Saccharomycetaceae.
UUUAAAUGAUGAUAAACUUUACUUUUCAGUUCUGCUUCUGAACCAAAAUACACAGGAAGAUAACCUUUUUACCAAAGCUCAAUAUCUGACAU